Dunckerocampus dactyliophorus (ringed pipefish) is the source of this 3956-nucleotide long non-coding RNA. RefSeq lists it as uncharacterized. Lineage: Eukaryota; Metazoa; Chordata; Actinopteri; Syngnathiformes; Syngnathidae. The record is from RefSeq and is a predicted model, not a curated record. The transcript has 5 exons.
GUGGAAGCCACGGGGAUGUUUAAAACUACGUUCCAACCAACUGAAACCGUCAUCAGUGCAGUAAUACUUCUUCUUUUGCUUCGGAAUCCUCUUCCAACACAAACUACAAUUCCAGUAUGAAUUUGGAUUUGUCCAUACCUGAAGCCAAGUCCAGCUGCAAAGCUCCUCUGUGCAUCAUCAGACCAGGAACCUAAAUUCAAGCAGAGGACCAGCUGUCAGUCCAAGAGCAAGCCUCCCAAAAGGACUGUCCUCGGGUAGGCCCUUGUCUGAGCUUUGGAGAUGAGAUUCCUGGAAUGGAAGGACUGGGCAGUGAUCAUACAGCAAGGGUGUGGAACCCUUUGGCCUGAAUGUAUGCGUCCAGUUCAGUGAUUUGACUGAUUUGUGCUCAGACCUAGAGUCUAGCCUUUUAGGCCGCAUUCCCACUUAUGGUUCGGUGCUCUGGUCAGCACAACAUUUUUUUUUAAAAGAUACUUUUGUGCAGUUGGCUUAGCAUUCGCACUGGUAUUUUUGUCAUAGGAGCAAAUGCUGUCUGCACAGCAUUUGCUCCUAUGACAACAAUAUGACAAAAGAACAUACAGUAUGCAUAAAGUAAGGACUUGUUUGGGCAGCUUUUGUGACAUAUUACGUGAUGUAACUCAAAUAUUCCAAACCAAAGUGUGAACGCACUCUUACUAUAUUUACAAAUGAAUAUCUAUCUUAAUUGUGUUGUUCAUAUGUAUUUUUAAGCUGCAACACAUACAGUAUAUACAGUAACAAAGCUGGAAUUAAAGUCAAACUUUUUGAAAGCCUAAUUUUCCUUCAGUAGACAUGAAAGCAAGAGUGUCCUAUAAAACCGCUCUGCUGUGUUUGAAUCAUUAUUAUUCUCUUUUCCAGCCCUGUGAUUUUAACUUAUACCUGCCCAUAUCUGCAUGGAAUGGUUUGGUCCUGCCUUAGCGCACAGACCGGUGAUGGUGCUUUGUAGCGGCCAGAGUGCUACAAAGUUGCCUGGUAAAAUAUAAUUUGGUUUUCUAAAAGGAAAGAGAGAAAGGGGAGAAAAGAGAGGCAAAAGAAGGGUGGCUACUACUAGGGGGGCCAACCGUUCCUUGAAAAACUGAAAUGUCCCGUAUCUUUUUGAGCUCAAAAGAGGUGUCAAACGUAAAACGUCAAUGGAAUUAAUGAAUGACAGAAGGCUUUAUAUGGGAAUUUAAUGGCAAACUCUUCCAUUCCAUUUCCACUCCGUCACCCGACCGCGAGAAGUGAAUUUCAAUGAAGUAUGAUUCAGUAUUAAUAAACUGAACAUUUUUGUAGUUAGAGCAUAGAAAACCUGUUUAUGCCUUUAUAAAUACAAUCCUUACCAUUAUUAGACCUCUGUAGACAUAAAAUAACACCCCUGUAGUCACCUUUACACUCCUAUUAUUCUUUGUUUACACCACAUUGCUCAACUGUAAUGCACAGGCUACGGGAUCACUGCAGGGACACAAGGGACGGCCAUGGCUUUAACCAUUAGCAAGCUAGCGAGCUAACUACUUAGCCUCCAAUUUAUUUACUGUAUUCUAAACUUAAGAAAGGGUUUAACACGGAGUGGGGAAAGAAGCCAAAAAUUUACCACUUCCACAUGAAAUGAGAGAAGAACUUCUUUUCACUCUAUCCUGUCGGACAUGCCAUGGCUGACUCUAUGCAGUGUGACAGUAAACAAAUGUCAUAUUUCAAUAAUGGAACAUUACUGAUGCCUACUGGCCAAAAUACUACUUUGAGUAAUUAUACGCCAAAGACAAACUGCGAAAGAGCGAUAAUUGAACCGAGAUAUUGCGAGGGACGGCUGUACUCGUACUGGUCUCCAAAACAUUUCUUAGGCUCAGGCUUAGGCUUAAGCUGGAACUGUGGUUGGGUCUUUUGCUGGCCCAUCCACACAGUUGGUUGAAGUGGAGAUGAGAGAGGCCAGAGAUUCUGUUGAAAGUCACUCACUUUCUGUGAGUGACUUCGCCAGAGCAGAAUCCGUCAUCGUUGGCUUCAGUCAGUGGGCAACAUCCUUAGAAGAAAUCGCUUCAUUGGGGAGUGGAGGAGCAGGGACAAGGAAAACCAGUGACAUCUAUAGGCUGGAUCCUGUGUUGCAGGAUGACAUAUUGAGUGGAUCGAAGACUCAGUAGGUCAGCUUUACCUGAGGAGCUAAAACAUCGUAGUCAUGUUUUGCAAUAUGUCAUUCUCAUUCUGCAAUAUGUUCAUCAACAACUUAGCCAUGUUGGGAGAAAUCACAUGCUGCCAAUCUUUCGACCUGUUUUGGAAGAGGUGGAUAAGGGAUUACUUACCAUAUGGGCCGCAUUUGUAGCGGACCAUAGCCAAGCUGCUCUCGCUUCAAGAAGCAGUAGAAACACCACGACCUGACGUUUGAGCCACGUGUUGGACCCACAAGGAAGACGAGAGACUACAUUGUUUUGUGACUCCUUUUAUGCAUUGAUGUGACUGUUCUAUUGUUACAGUUUUAUACAUGAGUAGGAGCCACAUCUGUUUUUGUCUUCCAUGUAUUACAUCAGGUCUCCAUGGUGGCAGUAUGUGUUCUCUUUAUAAGCGCAGGUGCAGGGGAGGCACGGGGUGGAACAUCAUGCAGUUUUUACAACUGGCUUGCUGGCUUGCUAGCUUGGCUCAUGCACCACUUUUUGUUUCUCGCAACAUCACAUCAUCACAUUAUCCGUUCCUGUUUUGUAUUAGUCUAGUCAUGCUUUUGGUGUAACCUUGGAGCAUUAAAUGGGAACACAGUCUACCACACCCGUGCACCAGUGAUUCCAGGAAGCCAGUAUAGCCACUAAAUAUGGAUUUUUUAUUACUGAAUCAGCUAUCUGCAAAUUAUAAUAAGUUUUAUUAAAACACAUGAUUUAUUAUUUACUGUACUCCCCUGUUCCCUGGUACAUGUUCAGCACAGGAAGUUAACUUGAGACACAGAGAAGGGGUAGGAUUAAAUAAUGGUGGAAGUGAAAACGUGAUGCGCUUCAAUGUAACUUUGUUAAGCAUAUUAGAAAGAAGCCAUUAGCAUUGCCAUUAAUGUAACGGUGGUGGAUCUGUAAUUCCUGUUGCAAGUAUCAUACGUGAUUAAACUGCAUACAGUACGUCAUGUCCUCUUACGCAUUAACUUUAUGCCAAUGAAUUCUCUCUUGGAGUCGCGUGGUCACAAACACAGUCAGGAUCUGCACCCCCAGUACAACCGCAACAAUGGUGCCGAUCAGGCCCUGGUGCUGCUGCACCCACCGCGAGAUUUCCCCCAGACACCCUCCCAGGAAGAUCACACUCUGAGCGCUGAACUCAUCCAGCGUUUGGGCUCCCAGGCCGCACUGAGAGUUCCACACGGUUCCGUUCUCCAGUGGGUCCAAGCAGCAUGUGGCUGGAACACCGCAGGCCAGAACUCCUGGGGCGGAGCAGUUGUAGUAUCUACAGGAAAGGAAAAGAUGGAUUUUAAAAGUCCCUGUACGUGUCCGCCCCACAGCACUGCAGAUUGGACUGGAGCUCAUCUGUGAUGAACCUCAGAUCCAAAUCGUCCUGGUAGCCGGCUAUGGCAGCCAACAUCCCUGACCGCAGAACAUUCCCGAUCUCCCCUUGGACGGUAUACACCACGAUGAGGGCCAGCACCUGGGCUGUGAUGAGCACCAGCAGCGUUCCGGAGAACACCUUCAGCAGGCAGUCAUUUUCCCGUAAGGCUCCUACGCAACCUGACAGGCAGAGCAAAGUCAGCAGGAGGCCAGCAGUCACCAGCAGCAGCAUGGGGUCGGUGCCGAUGCUUCCGAUCCUCUCCUGAGCGAAGGAUUCUUUGCUGAUGAGGCCCCACAUCCCCAAACCGAGGACAAGCAGGCCCAUAACGGAGAACAUUAGGUUGCUUAGAACCAGGAGGUACUUGAGGAAGUAGUCAGUGAAAGAAUAAAUGCAGUAGUGGGGGUGGAUUUGUUUGGAUACAGGCUCCUUUUCGUCACUUGCACCCAACUGGUGGAGUU